GCGAGCGUUAAUCGGAAUUACUGGGCGUAAAGCGCAUGCAGGCGGCCUGUUAAGUCAGAUGUGAAAGCCCGGGGCUUAACCUCGGAAUUGCAUUUGAAACUGGCAGGCUAGAGUCUUGUAGAGGGGGGUAGGAAUUUCAGGUGUAGCGGUGAAAUGCGUAGAGAUCUGAAGGAAUACCAGUGGCGAAGGCGGCCCCCUCGGACAAAGACUGACGCUCAGAUGCGAAAGCGUGGGGAGCAAACAGGAUUAGAUACCCUGGUAG
RNAcentral lists this ribosomal RNA (262 nucleotides) under uncultured bacterium. RNAcentral describes it as "partial 16S ribosomal RNA". It matches the Rfam family "Bacterial small subunit ribosomal RNA", at positions 534 to 793 of the family's 1533-position model. The record is from RNAcentral.